Non-coding RNA from Ictidomys tridecemlineatus (thirteen-lined ground squirrel), 4893 nucleotides. The record is from RefSeq and is a predicted model, not a curated record. Lineage: Eukaryota; Metazoa; Chordata; Mammalia; Rodentia; Sciuridae.
UCUCUCUAUCCUAGUCAUAAGCUUUUAAAGUAAAGCAUGCCUAGUGCUCAUUCUACUGGCAUUAUUAAUGCAGAAUCAAAACAAAAAAAAAAUUUAGAAGAAACUUCAGGGUAUGGUAUGUUAUUGCACAAAAAAAUGAAAAACAAAGAUCUGCUUAGGAAAACCCUAGCUGAAGAAAGAGGAGAGGAGCCAGAGCUCCCACCCUUCAUUCUCCAAUCACAUAUAUCACUCUUCCCUUUCCUCCUCUCAUGGGGCAGAGAGAGGUCAACAGCCUUCCUCGGAGGGAGUUUCUUUCACAAAGAAACCUAAGAUGCUCCACUCCCAAAGGAAUUUUUUGCCACAUGAUUUGGGGGAACAGUGGGCUAAGCUCUAGUAAGCAAGGUCUGUCUACUCUCUUCCCUGUAGACCUAGGAGCCUCAAAUAUGCUUAUGUCAAGGGAGAUGUGGUGUACUGUUUUCUCUAAAGGCAUUUGACCAUUUAAAUUCUCUUCCCAAUUUCUAAAUUUUCUUCCCAGACCAUCCCUUCUCAAGGUUAGUAUUCCAUGGCACACACUUAACUCCUGGGUCUACAAUUAACUCAUGCUUCUCCAUCCAGACCUGGGGACCCUGUUCUCAAAGCACAGUCACUUCCCAAGAAGGAGAAAUGUGGUACUGCCUAGAGCAUGUGAGGUUUUGUUCAGGGAAGUGUCACAAAUUGUCUGGUCAGACUUAAGCCAUGUUCUUCAAUAUAACUUUAUCAGUGAUAAAGGCGAUCUUUUCAUUUCUAUCUCCUAAUUUGUUCAAAACUCAAUUGUAAUUUCUUUACUGGUCCAUGAAAAUCCCAAGACUCAUUAACCAGGGUUCCUCUGGACAUAUUUUGAAAACCCCUGCUGUAGGUUUAUGGGGGGGGGGGGAAGCGUAAUCACAGAGUUGAAAUCAAAGGAGCAAGAAGAACAAACCAAGACCUGACAGAAGUGUGGAGACCAGAGUCCUGGGGCCAUAUCCAGGGCCACAACAGUCGGAGAUUAGGGGGAGGAAGACGCUGAAGGAACAGAUAGGCUGAACAUGAUGACAGAUGGCUCUGAGGCAGAAGGCAAAACUGAAUGAGGAGGACAUCCUGGGGGCCAACUUGGAUGACUCUGUAGAUGGAAUUAUGUGGGGAGCAAUAAGGGAAGAAGGAAGGUUGUGGUCUUGAUCUGAGUUGUGUGUCCUCAACACUUGAGGAAGUGGCAAUAAGGAGGAGGAAGGAAACUGUGAGACUAGCGUGGGGCUUUUGAAAGGAAGUCCCCUCCUAGGAUUGGGGUGGGAAAAUCACUGAGACCUGUGCCAGGGGAGGCUGCCUCACUUCCAUUCCCAUCCAGACCCACAAUUUGGAAAUUAGCAUUAGUAGCUUCUUCUACAAGAAGAAUAUUCUAAUCCCGGGGCUAUUUUCUCACCCAACAUUUGUAGUUGCCUUUCUGGAGUGUAUCUGUGUCAUGUUUCCUUAAGUUAUUGCGAGGAGACCUGGAGGGGUGGUCCCCUGGGGCCUGAGAAACUGGAAAGCCUGGUUCUUUGUCCUACAGACUUCUGCAGAUAGCAAACAUGGGUAGCAUCCAUGGCUAGUGUGAUAAGACUUCUGCAUCAGCUUCAUCUCAGAGGAGCUACAAAGAUCAAAUGAGAUAACAGACAUGAAGCACCAAACACAAAAGUUGGCACAUUGUGGUUUCUGCCCACAUGUUUGAGUUCAUUUUCUGUUGCUCUAGCAUAAUACCUAAUACUAAGUAAAUUUUAAAAGAAAUUGGUUAAUUUUAGCUCAAUGUUCUGGAGGCUAGGAAGUCUGAGAUUGGGUGAUCCUAUCUGGUUAGAGCCUCAUGCUGCUUCAUAACAUGGUGGAAGUCAGAAAGGCAAGUGUACACAUGUGAAAGAGAGAAAAUCUGAGGGGUAGCCUGUCUUGAUAACAACUUGCUCACAUGUACAAAUCCAGUUCUGUGAGAUAGGUAUUAAUCCUUCUUUUUUUAAUAUUUAUUUUUUUAGUUUUUUGGCAGACACAACAUCUUUGUUUGUAUGUGGUGCUGAGGAUCAAACCCGGGCCACACGCAUGCCAGGCGAAAGUGCUACCACUUGAGCCACAUCCCCAGCCCAUUUUAAUCCUUCUUAAUGACCUAAUCACUCCUUGAGCUUCCACUUCCAAAUCUCCAUUUUUCCAUCACAAUGGAGAAUCAAAUUCAGCAUGUAUUUGGAAGAAGCCAAAACCAUAGUCCCACAGUCCUCAACUAUGCUGGGUCUCCGUAAAGAGCAUCCUGGAAUGAAACCCACCAUGCGGGCUCCAACUUGGGUCUGGCUCUUGGGGAUAAUAAACCUACUUCUGGAAGCUCAUUGUGAAGAUUCUAUGUGACAUCCUAUGUAAAGAGCCACUCGAAGUGCCUGGCACCUAGCAGUGCAUCAUGGCAGCCAUUAAGCUGUAAUUAUUAUCAUCAGUACAAAUACAUGAGACUAGAGAAGUCAGUGACUUCCAAUGUGACAGAGCAGGGCUUGGCUCCAUUCCAGAAUAUUUAAAACCAAAGGGUCACACUUUGCCCUUAAAAAACACAACACAUAUUGCUUUAUUCAUCGAUCCAUCCUUUAGAAUCUAUAAACCAUUUUUACUGUGGGCUGCGUAUCACUUUACCAGGAUAUUCAGGAAUACUUGGCAGGUUCAGGACUCAGUGUGCUUCUGGGUGUAGCAAGUUGAAUGGUGGCAUUCCAAAAGACAUGUUUGAGUUCUAAUAUCGAUAUGACCUCACUUGGGAGGUCUUUGUAGAUGUAAUUAAGUGAAGGAUCUAGAUCGUCCUGGUUAAUCAGGUGUGCCCUAUGUCCAUCAACAAGUAUCUUGUGAUAGAGAAGAGCAGACUCAUAGGAGAAGAGGUCCUACAAAGAUGGAGGUAAAGAUUGGAAUGAAGCCGCAAGAAGCCAAGUUGCACCUGAAGCCACCCAAAGUUGGAGGAAGCAAAGAAGGAGAUUCACCUAGAAGCUCAGAGGGAUUGUGACUCUGCUGACACCUUGAUUUCAGACUUCUAGCUGCUGGAACAGUGGGAGACCCGUUUCCGCUGUUGUAAACUACACAGGCUGUGGCAAUCUUUUACAACAGUCACAGGAAGCUAGUAUAUGGGGAACAGUCACACACUCAAACCAACUUUGACAACAGAAAAAUAGUGAGAGGGAUUUUCCAGGAAGACUUGAAGGUAUAUUAUGGAUUCCAACGACAGAAAUUUUGUAAGGGACGAAGCCCAGGACCUGGACAGUUGAAAAUGGUCUGGCUCCUUCAUGUGGGGACACCUGACUUCUCCUCUCUUGUCUUUCUUCCUUCUUUUUCUGCAGGCUGGCUCUCUCUGCUUCUUCAUGCAGCCAAACCUUGAACUUGACCUUCAUCACAUUCCAUUCCAAGUGCCUAACAGAGCAACAGAUGGCUCUUUGGUCUGACGCCAAAAUCUAAAGAGAGAGAGAGAGAGAGAGAGAGAGAGAGAGAGAGAGAGAGAGAGAGAGAGAGAGAGAGAGAAGAGAGAGGAGAGGAGAGGAGAGGAGAGGAGAUGAGAUCUCUCCUCUGUGGAAUAAUGAACUCUCCCCAAAGGACGAGUUCUCAGGUCUGGGGACAUUUGUCUGGGAUCAGGAGCUCACUGGCAGACACCUUUGCUUGUUUGUUCUGGAAUGGCAAGGACAGUUUUGAGAGGCAUACAACUAGUUGGCUAAACUCGCCCCUGGUGUGACAGGUCCAAGAGAAUCUAACCUCACAUCUUGCAGGAGGGAUGAUGUCCUUGGCCUUCUAACCUGUCUCCUCAAACUCUUCUCUCUGCAUCAUUUUACAGAGGGGGGAAGAGCAGCAGAAAAGCUGUCCAUUUAGAUUCUCUUCCUGCUCUAAACAUGAAGUUAAUCUACUGGAACAAAAAUCCUAUUGAUUUUUACCUAUUAUAUUCUUCUCCCUGAAACAGCAAAUGCAUGCUACUACUGGGGUCAUAUUUGCCUUCUUUUGGAUUCAGAGCUUAAUAAAAUUUCCAACUCAUUAGUUUUACAUGUUGCUUUUGCACAGCUCCUUGAGGCCAAGUGGUACCUGAGAUAUUGGAGGUUGAAGGACUUUGCCUUCGACUAUAAAAUUUUCCAUCUUCAAAGCAAAGCCUCAAAGCAAACAGAAAUCCAACCCAGGCACAACUGGAGAAACGGGAUCUGGGGGCGAAAUCCCAUUACUUGAUGUGCUUCAAUAGUCAAUGAGAAUCUGUUGGGUGGGGACCAAGUGCUGGGCCUUGAGCUGGAAGCGUGGGUUACAGAGAUGAACAAGCUGGACAUUGGGUUUCUCACAUGGAGUUUAUGGCCUUGGGAGAGGCAGGCAGAGAUGAAAGAAAAUAACACAAAUUGAUGCAUAAUUGCAAGCUAUGACAGGCCAUGUAGGAGAGGCACCUCGGUGUCGUGAAGGCGAAUAAGCUCAGGCAACAGCCUGAGGGUCAGGAACAGCUUCUCCAAGGGGGCACCUUCCCCUGAGAUCUGAAGAGGAGAUGCCCACCUGAGACUUUUCCAUCUGACACUUGACCAUCUCAGACCUGUGCACCUGAGGCCCUCCAGACCAGAGAAGGCCACCUGCAGGAGUAAGCGUCUCACCCUGGAGCAGCGAUCAGCAUGGAGAAAAGUGGAGGAUGUGAGGAGGAGGUGCCUGGCUUCUCCCCAGGACACCUUCUUGGCCAUUCCUAAGAGACCACUCCUUCCAGUGUGUUCUAGGAGCCUGGGGAACACAUCUCCAUCAGAGUCAGCUUAUCAUGCUCUUCUGACCUGUCUGCCUCCCCAACAAGACUCCGGAGUCCUCCAGGGACAGUGUUUUUCCAUCUAUUUUGUGCCCAGUCCCUGGAAUCUACAUGAUAAGCAUGCACUAAAUAUUUAUUAAAGGAAUAAAUACAUAGACCUUAUUAAUUUA